Molecule: ribosomal RNA, 448 nt
Filed under: Veillonellaceae bacterium oral taxon 132
Lineage: Bacteria; Bacillati; Bacillota; Negativicutes; Veillonellales; Veillonellaceae
Description: bacterial SSU rRNA
Rfam family: Bacterial small subunit ribosomal RNA
Source: RNAcentral
GACGAACGCUGGCGGCGUGCUUAACACAUGCAAGUCGAACGGAGCUAUUUAUUUCGGUAGAUAGCUUAGUGGCAAACGGGUGAGUAACGCGUAGGCAACCUGCCCUUAGGAUGGGGACAACGGCCCGAAAGGACCGCUAAUACCGAAUGCACUCUAACUUCCGCAUGGAAGAAAGAGGAAAGAUGGUGCAAGCCAUCGCCGAAGGAAGGGCCUGCGUCUGAUUAGCCAGUUGGUGAGGUAACGGCUCACCAAAGCGACGAUCAGUAGCCGGUCUGAGAGGAUGAACGGCCACAAUGGGACUGAGACACGGCCCAUACUCCUACGGGAGGCAGCAGUGGGGAAUCUUCCGCAAUGGGCGAAAGCCUGACGGAGCAACGCCGCGUGAGUGAAGAAGGUCUUCGGAUCGUAAAGCUCUGUUGUUGGGGACGAAAGAAAAGGGGAGGAAAUU